This 85-nucleotide transfer RNA is filed under the name Enterobacteriaceae bacterium A-F18. RNAcentral describes it as "tRNA-Leu". It matches the Rfam family "tRNA". Rfam says of the family: Transfer RNA (tRNA) molecules are approximately 80 nucleotides in length. Their secondary structure includes four short double-helical elements and three loops (D, anti-codon, and T loops). Further hydrogen bonds mediate the characteristic L-shaped molecular structure. tRNAs have two regions of fundamental functional importance: the anti-codon, which is responsible for specific mRNA codon recognition, and the 3' end, to which the tRNAs corresponding amino acid is attached (by aminoacyl-tRNA synthetases). tRNAs cope with the degeneracy of the genetic code in two manners: having more than one tRNA (with a specific anti-codon) for a particular amino acid; and 'wobble' base-pairing, i.e. permitting non-standard base-pairing at the 3rd anti-codon position. The record is from RNAcentral. Lineage: Bacteria; Pseudomonadati; Pseudomonadota; Gammaproteobacteria; Enterobacterales; Enterobacteriaceae.
GCGAAGGUGGCGGAAUUGGUAGACGCGCUAGCUUCAGGUGUUAGUGUCCUUAGGAUGUGGGGGUUCGAGCCCCCCCCUCGCACCA